CCGGCGAUGUCCGAAUGGGGAAACCCAGUGCAAUUCGUUGCACUAUCGUUAACUGAAUACAUAGGUUAACGAGGCGAACCGGGGGAACUGAAACAUCUAAGUACCCCGAGGAAAAGAAAUCAACCGAGAUUCCCCCAGUAGCGGCGAGCGAACGGGGAGCAGCCCAGAGUCUGAAUCAGCUUGUGUGUUAGUGGAACGGUCUGGAAAGUCCGACGGUACAGGGUGAUAGUCCCGUACACCAAAAUGCACAGGCUGUGAACUCGAAGAGUAGGGCGGGACACGUGGUAUCCUGUCUGAAUAUGGGGGGACCAUCCUCCAAGGCUAAAUACUCCUGACUGACCGAUAGUGAACCAGUACCGUGAGGGAAAGGCGAAAAGAACCCCGGCGAGGGGAGUGAAAAAGAACCUGAAACCGUGUACGUACAAGCAGUGGGAGCACCUUCGGGUGUGACUGCGUACCUUUUGUAUAAUGGGUCAGCGACUUAUAUUCUGUAGCAAGGUUAACCGUAUAGGGGAGCCGCAGGGAAACCGAGUCUUAACUGGGCGUUAAGUUGCAGGGUAUAGACCCGAAACCCGGUGAUCUAGCCAUGGGCAGGUUGAAGGUUGGGUAACACUAACUGGAGGACCGAACCGACUAAUGUUGAAAAAUUAGCGGAUGACUUGUGGCUGGGGGUGAAAGGCCAAUCAAACCGGGAGAUAGCUGGUUCUCCCCGAAAGCUAUUUAGGUAGCGCCUCGUGAACUCAUCUUCGGGGGUAGAGCACUGUUUCGGCUAGGGGGUCAUCCCGACUUACCAACCCGAUGCAAACUACGAAUACCGAAGAAUGUUAUCACGGGAGACACACGGCGGGUGCUAACGUCCGUCGUGAAGAGGGAAACAACCCAGACCGCCAGCUAAGGUCCCAAAGUCAUGGUUAAGUGGGAAACGAUGUGGGAAGGCACAGACAGCCAGGAUGUUGGCUUAGAAGCAGCCAUCAUUUAAAGAAAGCGUAAUAGCUCACUGGUCGAGUCGGCCUGCGCGGAAGAUGUAACGGGGCUAAACCAUGCACCGAAGCUGCGGCAGCGACACUAUGUGUUGUUGGGUAGGGGAGCGUUCUGUAAGCCUGCGAAGGUGACCUGUGAGGGUUGCUGGAGGUAUCAGAAGUGCGAAUGCUGACAUAAGUAACGAUAAAGCGGGUGAAAAGCCCGCUCGCCGGAAGACCAAGGGUUCCUGUCCAACGUUAAUCGGGGCAGGGUGAGUCGACCCCUAAGGCGAGGCCGAAAGGCGUAGUCGAUGGGAAACAGGUUAAUAUUCCUGUACUUGGUGUUACUGCGAAGGGGGGACGGAGAAGGCUAUGUUAGCCGGGCGACGGUUGUCCCGGUUUAAGCAUGUAGGCUGGUUAUCCAGGCAAAUCCGGAUAAUCAAGGCUGAGGUGUGAUGACGAGGCACUACGGUGCUGAAGUAACAAAUGCCCUGCUUCCAGGAAAAGCCUCUAAGCAUCAGGUAACAUCAAAUCGUACCCCAAACCGACACAGGUGGUCAGGUAGAGAAUACCAAGGCGCUUGAGAGAACUCGGGUGAAGGAACUAGGCAAAAUGGUGCCGUAACUUCGGGAGAAGGCACGCUGGUGUGUAGGUGAAGUCCCUGCGGAUGGAGCUGAGACCAGUCGAAGAUACCAGCUGGCUGCAACUGUUUAUUAAAAACACAGCACUGUGCAAACACGAAAGUGGACGUAUACGGUGUGACGCCUGCCCGGUGCCGGAAGGUUAAUUGAUGGGGUUAUCCGUAAGGAGAAGCUCUUGAUCGAAGCCCCGGUAAACGGCGGCCGUAACUAUAACGGUCCUAAGGUAGCGAAAUUCCUUGUCGGGUAAGUUCCGACCUGCACGAAUGGCGUAAUGAUGGCCAGGCUGUCUCCACCCGAGACUCAGUGAAAUUGAACUCGCUGUGAAGAUGCAGUGUACCCGCGGCAAGACGGAAAGACCCCGUGAACCUUUACUAUAGCUUGACACUGAACAUUGAGCCUUGAUGUGUAGGAUAGGUGGGAGGCUUUGAAGCGUGGACGCCAGUCUGCGUGGAGCCAACCUUGAAAUACCACCCUUUAAUGUUUGAUGUUCUAACGUUGGCCCCUGACCGGGGUUGCGGACAGUGUCUGGUGGGUAGUUUGACUGGGGCGGUCUCCUCCCAAAGCGUAACGGAGGAGCACGAAGGUUAGCUAAUCCUGGUCGGACAUCAGGAGGUUAGUGCAAUGGCAUAAGCUAGCUUGACUGCGAGCGUGACGGCGCGAGCAGGUGCGAAAGCAGGUCAUAGUGAUCCGGUGGUUCUGAAUGGAAGGGCCAUCGCUCAACGGAUAAAAGGUACUCCGGGGAUAACAGGCUGAUACCGCCCAAGAGUUCAUAUCGACGGCGGUGUUUGGCACCUCGAUGUCGGCUCAUCACAUCCUGGGGCUGAAGUAGGUCCCAAGGGUAUGGCUGUUCGCCAUUUAAAGUGGUACGCGAGCUGGGUUUAGAACGUCGUGAGACAGUUCGGUCCCUAUCUGCCGUGGGCGCUGGAGAAUUGAGGGGGGCUGCUCCUAGUACGAGAGGACCGGAGUGGACGCAUCACUGGUGUUCGGGUUGUCAUGCCAAUGGCACUGCCCGGUAGCUAAAUGCGGAAGAGAUAAGUGCUGAAAGCAUCUAAGCACGAAACUUGCCCCGAGAUGAGUUCUCCCUGAGACUUUAAGUCUCCUGAAGGAACGUU
Molecule: ribosomal RNA, 2712 nt
Filed under: Klebsiella pneumoniae
Lineage: Bacteria; Pseudomonadati; Pseudomonadota; Gammaproteobacteria; Enterobacterales; Enterobacteriaceae
Also listed under: 1 other name
Description: bacterial LSU rRNA
Rfam family: Bacterial large subunit ribosomal RNA
Source: RNAcentral